UUUGAUCCUAAAUAAUUCCAUUUCUCUCUCUCAAUUAUACACAUUUAAAUAAAUAAAUACAUCAAUUUAUUUUUAUAUUGUAUAAAUAUAAUUAUUUGAUCAUGUAAUAUAUAAACAUAAAAUAAUGCUAUAUUGACAAUUGUGUUAAUAGUUUACGAGAAUUGGAUUAAAUCAAAAUUUUAUAUAUAAAAUUGCAUAAAAUCAAAAAUUUUGUAUAAAAUUACACAUUAAACUAAAAUUUAU
RNAcentral lists this long non-coding RNA (243 nucleotides) under Gossypium barbadense (sea-island cotton). Its description in RNAcentral is "long non-coding RNA (GBAR_LNC017465)". Lineage: Eukaryota; Viridiplantae; Streptophyta; Magnoliopsida; Malvales; Malvaceae. The record is from RNAcentral.